RNAcentral lists this ribosomal RNA (253 nucleotides) under uncultured bacterium. Its description in RNAcentral is "partial 16S ribosomal RNA". It matches the Rfam family "Bacterial small subunit ribosomal RNA", at positions 524 to 776 of the family's 1533-position model. The record is from RNAcentral.
UACAGAGGGGGCAAGCGUUGUUCGGAAUUACUGGGCGUAAAGCGCGCGUAGGCGGCUUUGCAAGUCGGGUGUGAAAUCCCCAGGCUUAACCUGGGAACUGCAUUCGAGACUGCAUUGCUAGAGUAUGGGAGAGGGAAGUGGAAUUUCCGGUGUAGCGGUGAAAUGCGUAGAUAUCGGAAGGAACAUCAGUGGCGAAAGCGGCUACCUGGCCUGAUACUGACACUGAGGCACGAAAGCGUGGGGAGCAAACAGG